CUUUUCUGAUCUAGUGGCGGACGGGUGAGUAACACGUGAGCAAUCUGCCUUUCAGAGGGGGAUACCGAUUGGAAACGAUCGUUAAUACCGCAUAAUAUAAUUGAACCGCAUGAUUUGAUUAUCAAAGAUUUAUCGCUGAAAGAUGAGCUCGCGUCUGAUUAGCUAGUUGGUAAGGUAACGGCUUACCAAGGCGACGAUCAGUAGCCGGACUGAGAGGCUGAUCGGCCACAUUGGGACUGAGACACGGCCCAGACUCC
This 257-nucleotide ribosomal RNA is filed under the name uncultured Eubacteriales bacterium. Its description in RNAcentral is "uncultured Clostridiales bacterium partial 16S ribosomal RNA". It matches the Rfam family "Bacterial small subunit ribosomal RNA", at positions 82 to 339 of the family's 1533-position model. Lineage: Bacteria; Bacillati; Bacillota; Clostridia; Eubacteriales. The record is from RNAcentral.